CUAACUAAACAUGUAGAAGUGAACCUGGAACUAGCUUUGAAUUAGCUAGCUGAGCAGCAGCCCUGGUGAGCUACAGCGCCGUGCAGUCACCUGCACAGCUUCUGUCUCACAAAUGGGCUCUGCAGCCUGCGCUGGUUUGGUGCCAUGACAACACUGCCUGUGGUACCUGAAAGAGUGAGUUUAAAUAUAGUUUAUCCGCGGUCUCAGUGAGCUCUGGUCUGUGCAGCGCAGGCAAACAGCAAGAUGUAAUUACGGAGUAUUCAAGUCGGAAGCUAAACACUGUGUUAAGGGCGCCUUUCUUUCACUUGCACAGUCCCUUUUACAGUUAUCUCUAGGGCCUGUUGACUUCAAUCCACUUGUUUUCAAAACAUGCCUGCAGGGCAGGGAAGCAGCCCUGUCCGUGUGCUGUAGGGACAGAUCUGAAAAGCACCAGGUGUGGAAACUUGUUCAUUUUGCAAGCAGCAAGGAAGGUUUGGAACUUUACUGCUCCCAUUUACAGCUCCCACCUGUUUGAGGGCACUCAGUGCCGCAGCUGAGAGCUGAUGGGCUGUGGCUCUUCAUUCUUCAGCACAAGGCUGGGCAGCUGAUGAAGGUGGCCCAAGCUAUUCUGACUUGCAUGUAAGGUGGACUGGGAACAGAAGUUAUUUUCUGCCCUACAGCCUGAACAACAGAAGCAACAGCCUCUGACUGACAAGUGCUGGUGGCCGUUGUGGGGUGAAGCACUGUCCUGAAAUGCCAGGAGCUGCUGUGCACUCGUCCUUGACAGGAAGGGCAAGCUGAGCAAACAGGGCAGAGGACGAGCAUGUGAGGUGGCCGCAGGGGAGCCAGCAGCAGGGACAGGGCUGCUCCGACUGCUUGAGAAUCUCUUCAGCAACCGGGAAGGGGCUGAAAGCACAAAGACAAGAUUGUGUUGUGAAGGUGUUUCCUCACAGAGUCUGGGUUAUUUCUGUUGCAGUAUUGCUUCCUUCACACCCCUUGUAUUACUAUGCUAUAGGAUUAACAUCAGGCAGUUAGGAGAAACUUCAGACUUCCCAGAGCAUGGCCCAAGGAGUAGCCAAUGCUCUGUUGUCCAUAGCUGCAUUCAGUUUAGAGUUUACUUGCUGUGAAUGUACGUUUUGAAAAAGCUUUUUUGCUUUGUUGUAAUUUAAGAACAGUCCUUCCAAUGUCUCUAUUGUCAAGUAUGUGCUGAGAUGUAUGGGUACUUCUGCCGGUAUAGUCUUUCCAUCGCAACUUGAAGCUAUGGAAUGUGCAAGAGUGGUCCUUAAUUUUAUUCUUAUUCAGAAGUGGAAAAGAAGGCAGUGAUAACAGAGAAAAUUUUCAUUUUCCUUCUUAAACCCCACCAGUUUGAAUAAUCUUUUGCUGAGUUUCCUGAUGUGGCUAUUUGCAUUCUUUUGUGAAUUCAGACUGACUGUUAGCAGCCUCCAAAUAAAACAUGGUUAUAUGAAGAUUUACCUUGG
This 1457-nucleotide long non-coding RNA is filed under the name Anser brachyrhynchus (Pink-footed goose). RNAcentral describes it as "lncRNA (ENSABRG00000010100.1)". Lineage: Eukaryota; Metazoa; Chordata; Aves; Anseriformes; Anatidae. The record is from RNAcentral.